GCCUGGGUGGCUCAGUCGGUUGAGCAUCCGACUUCGGCCCAGGUCAUGAUCUCACAGCUUGUGGGUUCGAGCCCUGCUUCGGGCU
RNAcentral lists this transfer RNA (85 nucleotides) under Felis catus (domestic cat). It matches the Rfam family "tRNA". From Rfam's summary of the family: Transfer RNA (tRNA) molecules are approximately 80 nucleotides in length. Their secondary structure includes four short double-helical elements and three loops (D, anti-codon, and T loops). Lineage: Eukaryota; Metazoa; Chordata; Mammalia; Carnivora; Felidae. The record is from Rfam by way of RNAcentral.